AAAUUAUGAGAGAGGGAGGGAGGGAGGCGAUUUUGUUGGAUUAAGUUGUUUCUUUAUCAGAUUUUGAUCACGGGUAUCAACCAUGUCUGAGAAGGUUGUGUAUUCUAUCUUGAAUCAUGGUGAUCAUUCGACCCUAUUCCGUAGAUGUGUACAUUUUUGUACAAUGAAAUUCUCUGUGAUGAAUGCAUGGGUUGUUUUGUUUGAAUCAGUGCUCUAUUUUGUCAUUUUUCUGUAGAUUUUUACAUACUUGUACACUAGUAUGCUCUGUGAUGAAUGAAUGACAUGUUUUGCGGGUAUGGAUGUAGAUUUUGUUAUUUUUCUGCGGAUGUGUAAAUGUUUGUACACCGAAAUACUCUGUGACGAAUAAAUGCCCUGUCAUGUGGGUAUGGAGUUAUAUUCUUUUAGGUUUUUGUAGAGGUGUACAUGUUUGCUCACUAGUAUGUUGUGUGAUGAAUGGAUGGUCUGACAAGUGGGUAUGGAUGCUAGAAUUCAUUAGGUUUCUGUAGAGGUGUACAUAUUUGUACACUAGUUAUAUGUUGCAGUUUAUAUAGAAUGUGCACUUUUAAUGUACAUUGUAUAUAUUUUUUAUAUAAGUUUUUUGUAAUAAUGUAGGGUAUCAACAAUGCCUAAGAAGGUUGUGUAUGCUUAUUGAAUCAUGAUGAGCAUUCAGCUCUAUUUUGGAAGAUGUGUACAUAUUUGUAUACUGAAAUUCUAUGUGAUGAAUGCAUGGGUUUUUUUGUUUGAGUAAA
Long non-coding RNA from Papaver somniferum (opium poppy), 749 nucleotides. RefSeq lists it as uncharacterized. The transcript has 2 exons. Lineage: Eukaryota; Viridiplantae; Streptophyta; Magnoliopsida; Ranunculales; Papaveraceae. The record is from RefSeq and is a predicted model, not a curated record.